GAUCUAUUCCCUCCGUUUCAUAAUUCUUGUCGAAAUAUUACAUGUAUCUAGAAGUUUUUUAUGAAUAGAUACAUUCAUUUUUGACAAAUUUAAGACAAGAAUUAUGAGACGUAGGGAGUACGGA
Molecule: non-coding RNA, 124 nt
Organism: Brachypodium distachyon (stiff brome)
Lineage: Eukaryota; Viridiplantae; Streptophyta; Magnoliopsida; Poales; Poaceae
Source: Rfam